This 357-nucleotide ribosomal RNA is filed under the name Eukaryota sp. Its description in RNAcentral is "SSU rRNA". It matches the Rfam family "Eukaryotic small subunit ribosomal RNA", at positions 1325 to 1699 of the family's 1831-position model. The record is from RNAcentral.
UCGUUAACGAACGAGACCUCGGCCUGCUAAAUAGUUCGGUGAAUCCUUCGGAUUCGUUUGUAACUUCUUAGAGGGACUAUCGGUGAUUUAGCCGAUGGAAGUUCGAGGCAAUAACAGGUCUGUGAUGCCCUUAGAUGUUCUGGGCCGCACGCGCGCUACACUGAUACGAGCAUCGAGCUUACAACCUUGGUUGAGAGGCCUGGGUAAUCUUUUUAAACCGUAUCGUGCUGGGGAUAGAUUAUUGUAAUUUUUAAUCUUCAACGAGGAAUUCCUAGUAAACGCUGGUCAUCAACCAGCAUUGAUUACGUCCCUGCCCUUUGUACACACCGCCCGUCGCUAAUACCGAUUGAAUGGUUA